GACGAACGCUGGCGGCGUGCCUAAUACAUGCAAGUUGAGCGCUGAAGGGUGGUACUUGUACCAACUGGGUGAGCAGCGAACGGGUGAGUAACGCGUGGGGAAUCGGCCGUUGAGCGGGGGACGACAUAAGGAAAGGAAAGCUAAUACCGCAUAAAAACGUGAAAGAGAAGUUUUAAGUUUGAAAGAUGCAAUUGCAUAACUCAAGGAUGAUCCCGCGUUGUAUUUGCUAGUUGGUGAGGUAAAGGCUCACCAAGGAGAUGAUACAUAGCCGAACUUAGAGGGUGGUCGGCCCCAUUUGGACUUGGACACGGCCCCAACUCCCUCCGGAGGCCGCAGUAGGGAAUCUUCGGCCAUGGACGAAAAUCUUACCGCACACCUCCGCGUGAGUUAAGAAGGUUUUCCGAUCGUUAAACUCUGUUGGUUGGGAAGAACGUUGGUUAGAUUGGAAACCUCCUCUAUUGACGGUACCUACCCAGAAAGCGACGGCUAACUACGUG
RNAcentral lists this ribosomal RNA (497 nucleotides) under uncultured bacterium. RNAcentral's name for it is "partial 16S ribosomal RNA". It matches the Rfam family "Bacterial small subunit ribosomal RNA", at positions 28 to 507 of the family's 1533-position model. The record is from RNAcentral.